This 466-nucleotide long non-coding RNA is filed under the name Coturnix japonica (Japanese quail). RNAcentral's name for it is "lncRNA (ENSCJPG00005008660.1)". Lineage: Eukaryota; Metazoa; Chordata; Aves; Galliformes; Phasianidae. The record is from RNAcentral.
UCUAAAUAGGACUGAUCUAAAUCAAAGAUACAGGAAAAUCUUCCAUAAUCUUCCUGUCUAAACCAAGGAAAUUUGGAGAAAUAAAAGUUACAUCAAAAGCUCCAUCACUCUUUCCUCUAGAAAUUUGUUCUUAUAUCAAAGAUAAACAACCCCUCUUAAUGUUUGUGCAAAACUCUGAACUCUGCUAUCAAAAUUUUCAUAUUGAUUAAUAGGCAUCUUUUCCGACAUGCAGAAAGGGAAGCUGUAUGGAAAUUAGAAGAAUGUUAUAUACCACAAGUCUUCCAGAUCAGUCUUCUUUUAACUGUCAUUUUAAAUGGACAGUAAGAUGACAAAGCAGGGAAAAAGAGCAAUAAUCCCAACUGGCAGUCCAAAAAUAACCAGAUUGGAGGGUGGAAGGAAAAGAAGGAAAAGGGAAGCUAAAAAUGAAGAGAACAGUCGAUCAUCAAAUAUUGAAACUGACAUCUGA